Molecule: RNA transcript, 1147 nt
Organism: Oncorhynchus kisutch (coho salmon)
Lineage: Eukaryota; Metazoa; Chordata; Actinopteri; Salmoniformes; Salmonidae
Gene name: selenoprotein F-like
Exons: 5
Source: RefSeq, a predicted model, not a curated record
UAGGCACUUGCCAGUAGCUACUACUUCCUACUUUUUAAGGGGUCCUCAGUUUUCUUCCGUAACAAAGCAAUCGCCAAAAUGUCGGGGGAGGUGUAUAUUCUGUGGCUUCUUUCUCUCAUACAAACGCUUUCGGCCUAUGGAGCCGACCUGUCCUCAGAGGCAUGCAGGGAGCUGGGCUUCUCCAGCAACCUCCUGUGCAGCUCCUGUGACCUGCUGGGAGAGUUCAGCCUGGGCCAGAUCCAGCCUGUCUGUAGACAGUGCUGCCAGCAGGAGGCCCAGAUGGAGUCCAGGAAGCUCUACCCUGGGGCCAUCCUGGAAGUGUGUGGAUGAAAGUUGGGGAGGUUCCCUCAAGUCCAAGCUUUUGUCAGGUCUGACAAGCCGAAGAUGUUCAAGGGUCUUCAAAUUAAGUAUGUGAGAGGCGCAGACCCUAUACUAAAGCUGCUGGACGAUAACGGGAACAUCGCUGAAGAACUCAGCAUCCUCAAGUGGAACACGGAUAGCGUGGAGGAAUUCCUGAGUGAGAAGUUGGAAGUAUAUAAUACGGAUUCAUAGUGCAUCAUAACCUUUUUCCCUGCUACAAAUCUGUACACCAUUUGGAUUUGAUUUUCUAAUUGUAUGUUGAAGUACUGCACUGUUAAAAAAAUAUUUUUUUUACCUGAAAAUCAAUCUGUAGUUUUUCCUAAUUACAUUUUGUGCCAGGAUGUAAAAUGGCUGUUUUGUAGAUUUGUGAACAUAUCAAAAUACUGAAACUUACAUGCAAAAUACCUGCUGUUAACUUUUAAAUGAUUGGAAUGAAUUAUCCAAAGAGAGUGUAAAGAUUUUCAGUGCUUGUUACAUUUUAUUUUUGAAUGUUUUUUUUCCUCCUCCCGUCUGUCAGUUGUCCCUGUGUAGUUUUUUAAAUAUUGCUAAUGGUGUCAGCAGGAGGAUCUUAGGGUGGGGGAUCUAAGUGUCUCACCUCAUGAGAAUGUUCUGGGGAGGCACGCAUUAAUGAAGGCCUCACAGUAAACCACAGUUUGGGAUGUGAGACCUGAUGGCCCUGUGUGUCUCUCUGGGCGUCUUGCUGUGGAGAGGGACUGGAUUCCCCAGUGUGUGAAUGAGUAUGGGGAGGAGGAAAAACGCUGCAAUUAAUAAAAUGUCUUUCACGGUA